Molecule: transfer RNA, 62 nt
Filed under: Leptorhynchoides thecatus
Lineage: Eukaryota; Metazoa; Acanthocephala; Palaeacanthocephala; Echinorhynchida; Rhadinorhynchidae
Description: tRNA-Ser
Source: RNAcentral
AAAACACGAGUGGAUAAACUUUUUUUAGAAAAAAAAAWUUUUUCGAUUUUGAAUAUGUAUUU